AAGUCGUAACAAGGUUUCCGUAGGUGAACCUGCGGAAGGAUCAUUAACACGUAUCCAACGUUAAACCCCCCUGUGAACCUUCAGAGAGCUCUUGUCUACCGUACGGAACAGCAAUCCUGGUAAAUCAGUGGCGAAGUUCGUUUUUGAUUCAGGACCUCUGUCCAGGACUUUCAAUUGAGCGCAUAGCAGUGGGUCUGGAUACCUGGCCGGGCGGAUGAAAGUGUCGCUGUACGGUUUCGAGGUUAACAUUACGAUCGCUAGAGGCUCACCACGGGCCGGCGGACACCUCGUCACAUAGCAAGUGCGCCGUGAUGGAGGAAAACGUACAACUGUUAACAAUGGAUAUCUUGGUUCUC
RNAcentral lists this unclassified non-coding RNA (356 nucleotides) under fungal sp. RNAcentral's name for it is "partial internal transcribed spacer region". The stretch from base 1 to 46 matches the Rfam family "Eukaryotic small subunit ribosomal RNA", at positions 1786 to 1831 of the family's 1831-position model. Lineage: Eukaryota; Fungi. The record is from RNAcentral.